GACGGAGGAGGCAAGCGUUGUCCGGAAUUAUUGGGCGUAAAGAGCGCGUAGGCGGUUUUCCAAGUCAUAUGUGAAAACUUUAGGCUUAACCUAAAGAUUGCAUGUGAAACUGGAUAACUAGAGUACGGCAGAGGAAAGUGGAAUUCCUGGUGUAGCGGUGAAAUGCGCAGAUAUCAGGAAGAACACCAGUGGCGAAGGCGGCUUUCUAGGCCGUUACUGACGCUGAGGCGCGAAAGCUAGGGGAGCGAACAGG
RNAcentral lists this ribosomal RNA (253 nucleotides) under uncultured bacterium. RNAcentral describes it as "partial 16S ribosomal RNA". It matches the Rfam family "Bacterial small subunit ribosomal RNA", at positions 524 to 776 of the family's 1533-position model. The record is from RNAcentral.